AAUGAGAACCGAACUUUUUCCGUAUAUUUUCCGGUUCCUACAUUUACUAUCCGAACCAAACAGAACCCGAAACUAUCCGAACCGAACCAAACCGAAAAUAGGUCAAGUACUAAAUGGAUCCUUUAACCCUUAUCCGAACUAUCCGAAACCCGAAAUACCCGAACCGAACCGAACCGAUAUCCGAAAUGCCCAGGCCUAGCUCCAACCAUACAUCUCCCUCUGCUGCACCCGCUCCUGCUCCUCUCGCUCCCGCUGCUGCAUCCGCUCCUGUUCCUCCAGGUCCUCCGGGAGUGAUGAGUGUUGCGGAGUUGGUUCAAC
RNAcentral lists this long non-coding RNA (318 nucleotides) under Brassica napus (rape). RNAcentral describes it as "long non-coding RNA (BNAP_LNC022919)". Lineage: Eukaryota; Viridiplantae; Streptophyta; Magnoliopsida; Brassicales; Brassicaceae. The record is from RNAcentral.